UACGUAGGGGGCUAGCGUUGUCCGGAAUCAUUGGGCGUAAAGAGCGCGUAGGCGGCCAGAUAAGUCCGGUGUGAAAGUCAAAGGCUCAACCUUUGAAUGCCGCUGGAAACUGUCUGGCUAGAGUCCGGGAGGGGCGAGUGGAAUUCCUGGUGUAGCGGUGAAAUGCGCAGAUAUCAGGAGGAACACCAAUGGCGAAGGCAGCUCGCUGGAACGGUACUGACGCUGAGGCGCGAAAGCGUGGAGAGCGAACAGG
RNAcentral lists this ribosomal RNA (253 nucleotides) under uncultured bacterium. RNAcentral describes it as "partial 16S ribosomal RNA". It matches the Rfam family "Bacterial small subunit ribosomal RNA", at positions 524 to 776 of the family's 1533-position model. The record is from RNAcentral.